AACUCUGGAGAGUCUCAGUAAAUGAGCGCCGAAGGUGUAACACAGGAAGGGUCAGGGAGCGGACAGGCUCCCGGCGGCUUUUUCUGUCUAUCUCUCAGGCAAAAGGACAGGGCUGAA
This 117-nucleotide non-coding RNA is filed under the name chicken gut metagenome. RNAcentral describes it as "Glycine riboswitch". It matches the Rfam family "Glycine riboswitch aptamer", at positions 7 to 90 of the family's 94-position model. From Rfam's summary of the family: This family represents the bacterial glycine riboswitch. RNAcentral also lists the same sequence under 1 other name. The record is from RNAcentral.